Molecule: ribosomal RNA, 489 nt
Filed under: uncultured bacterium
Lineage: Bacteria
Description: bacterial SSU rRNA
Rfam family: Bacterial small subunit ribosomal RNA
Source: RNAcentral
GAACGCUGGCGGCAGGCCUAACACAUGCAAGUCGAGCGGUAACAGAAAGAAAGCUUGCUUUCUUUGCUGACGAGCGGCGGACGGGUGAGUAAUGCCUGGGAAUAUGCCUUAGUGUGGGGGAUAACUAUUGGAAACGAUAGCUAAUACCGCAUAACGUCUUCGGACCAAAGAGGGGGACCUUCGGGCCUCUCGCGCUAAGAUUAGCCCAGGUGGGAUUAGCUAGUUGGUGAGGUAAAGGCUCACCAAGGCAACGAUCCCUAGCUGGUCUGAGAGGAUGAUCAGCCACACUGGAACUGAGACACGGUCCAGACUCCUACGGGAGGCAGCAGUGGGGAAUAUUGCACAAUGGGGGGAACCCUGAUGCAGCCAUGCCGCGUGUAUGAAGAAGGCCUUCGGGUUGUAAAGUACUUUCAGUCGUGAGGAAGGCAUUGUAGUUAAUAGCUGCAGUGCUUGACGUUAGCGACAGAAGAAGCACCGGCUAACUCCGUG